AUUACAGAAAUGAAUGGAAAAGGAUUUUUAGAUCUAUUGUUUCUCCAUUCAGAAUCCAUUAUUAACAUGUUAGUAAGUUUCCUUCCAGGUUUUUUCUUACAGUGUUAUUUUAGGUGGUGGUAGUCAUGUUAUAGACACAAGUGAGCAAAUCACUUUUUCACUGGUUACCGGAUCAUAAACGUGCAUCACACUAUCAUAUUUUCAAAAAUAUGCAGUGGGAGCGUGACCUGCACUUCUAGCUUCUGCCUGGAACUCUCACCGUUUCACACAGUGCAGACAGCACUUCCUCCCUGGCAAUGAAGGUGCAAGCUACUACAAAUGGAAGAUAUAUAAGAGGCUGGGAAGCAAAGGACAGAGGAAUGCCUCUCUACAUUUAUUUUUCCACUACCCAACAGGUUUUCAGAGAUGGGGAAAAUGAAGAGCCUGGAUCAUUUCACAAGAGGCCCAGAGAGAAGGGAACCCAGCCUCAUGCCCUCCAACUGGCACCUAGGUUUUCAUAUCCAUGACAACUGGCUACUUUCUCUGAGCACACCAACAAAUCCUCUGCCUUCCUCUUGGCUUUCUUUUUGGCUUCACUUCACAAAGAACAGAAAAAUGUUGCUGGAUUGCAAACUUCAAGAUAAUUCAACAAAUGUCUCUUGAGAAAAUCUCUGUAUAAGAAUUUUUAAAUCAGAGCCAAGUUGCGGGGGGUGGUUAGUGUUUUUCCUGACUCAGCAACUCCACACAUUCCCUCCAAAUGGACAGGCUAGCUGCUGGGCAGAAGAGGAGAAUGGGGGCACAGGUAACCUGUGACAGUUAACCUCUUCAUGGUGUAGUGUGGAAAGCACACCUCUGGGUGUGUCUUGGAGGGUGCUUCCGAAAAGGAUUAAUGAGGAGAGAACCCACUUUGAAUGUGGACGUCCCAACCAAAGCCUGGGGGCUCAGAUGGAACAAAGCAGGGAGAAGACAGAGCCCUGGUUCUUCCUCUUUGUUUUCUGGCCAUCAUAGAGGACUCUUCUGCUAAUAAACCCUCCAGCCUUGAGGGAUUGACACCUCUAAAACCAUAAGCCAAAAUAAAUCUGUCCUACAUUAAGUUGAUGUUUGUGUGGGUAUUUAUCACAGCAUGAAAAGCUCACUGAAAAAUAACAAAAUGCAACAA
RNAcentral lists this long non-coding RNA (1138 nucleotides) under Cricetulus griseus (Chinese hamster). RNAcentral's name for it is "lncRNA (ENSCGRG00015042624.1)". The record is from RNAcentral. Lineage: Eukaryota; Metazoa; Chordata; Mammalia; Rodentia; Cricetidae.